AACGAACGCUGGCGGCAUGCCUAACACAUGCAAGUCGAACGAGACCUUCGGGUCUAGUGGCGCACGGGUGCGUAACGCGUGGGAACCUGCCCUUAGGUUCGGAAUAACUCCCCGAAAGGGGUGCUAAUACCGGAUAAUGUCUUCGGACCAAAGAUUUAUCGCCUUUGGAUGGGCCCGCGUUGGAUUAGCUAGUUGGUAGGUUAAAAGCCUACCAAGGCGACGAUCCAUAGCUGGGCUGAGAGGAUGAUCAGCCACACUGGGACUGAGACACGGCCCAGACUCCUACGGAAGGCAGCAGUGGGGAAUAUUGGAAAAUGGGCGAAAGCCUGAUCCAGCAAUGCCGCGUGAGUGAUGAAGGCCUUAGGGUUGUAAAGCUCUUGUACCCGGGAUGAUAAUGACAGUACCGGGAGAAUAAGCUCCGGCUAACUCCGUG
RNAcentral lists this ribosomal RNA (433 nucleotides) under uncultured bacterium. RNAcentral describes it as "partial 16S ribosomal RNA". It matches the Rfam family "Bacterial small subunit ribosomal RNA", at positions 29 to 507 of the family's 1533-position model. The record is from RNAcentral.